GGGGUUGUAGUUAAGUAUAACAUUUGAUUUGCAUUCAAAAAGUACUGGAAAACCAGUUUACCUCA
RNAcentral lists this transfer RNA (65 nucleotides) under Bactrocera tsuneonis (Japanese orange fly). Its description in RNAcentral is "tRNA-Ala". It matches the Rfam family "tRNA". Rfam says of the family: Transfer RNA (tRNA) molecules are approximately 80 nucleotides in length. Their secondary structure includes four short double-helical elements and three loops (D, anti-codon, and T loops). The record is from RNAcentral. Lineage: Eukaryota; Metazoa; Arthropoda; Insecta; Diptera; Tephritidae.